Molecule: ribosomal RNA, 165 nt
Filed under: Gilbertiodendron sp. Boungou 144
Lineage: Eukaryota; Viridiplantae; Streptophyta; Magnoliopsida; Fabales; Fabaceae
Also listed under: 1 other name
Description: 5.8S ribosomal RNA
Rfam family: 5.8S ribosomal RNA
About the family: 5.8S ribosomal RNA (5.8S rRNA) is a component of the large subunit of the eukaryotic ribosome. It is transcribed by RNA polymerase I as part of the 45S precursor that also contains 18S and 28S rRNA.
Source: RNAcentral
AACGACUCUCGGCAACGGAUAUCUCGGCUCUCGCAUCGAUGAAGAACGUAGCGAAAUGCGAUACUUGGUGUGAAUUGCAGAAUCCCGUGAACCAUCGAGUCUUUGAACGCAAGUUGCGCCCGAAGCCAUUAGGCCAGGGCACGUCUGGCUGGGUGUCACRCAACG